GCGAGUGAAGCGGCAAGAGCUCAGAUUUGAAAUCGUGUUUCGGCACGAGUUGUAAAUUGCAGGUUGGAGUCUUUGUGGAAGUGCGUGUCCAAGUCCCUUGGAACAGGGCGCCAUUGAGGGUGAGAGCCCCGUGGGAUGCGCAUUGAAGCUGUAAGGCCCUUCUGACGAGUCGAGUUGUUUGGGAAUGCAGCUCUAAGCGGGUGGUAAAUUCCAUCUAAGGCUAAAUAUUGGCGAGAGACCGAUAGCGAACAAGUACUGUGAAGGAAAGAUGAAAAGCACUUUGAAAAGAGAGUGAAACAGCACGUGAAAUUGUUGAAAGGGAAGGGUAUUGGGUCCGACAUGGGGACUGCGCAUCGUUGCUUCUUGUAGGCGGCGCUCUGUGCUCUCUCUGGGCCAGCAUCGGUUUUUGCCGCAGGAUAAGGGGCGUUGGAACGUGGCUCCUCGGAGUGUUAUAGCCAACGCCAGAUGCUGCGAGCGGGGACCGAGGGCUGCGACAUUUGUCUCGGAUGCUGGCAUAACGGCUCAAUACCGCCC
RNAcentral lists this ribosomal RNA (534 nucleotides) under Pichia sporocuriosa. RNAcentral's name for it is "eukaryotic LSU rRNA". It matches the Rfam family "Eukaryotic large subunit ribosomal RNA", at positions 89 to 650 of the family's 3401-position model. Lineage: Eukaryota; Fungi; Ascomycota; Pichiomycetes; Pichiales; Pichiaceae. The record is from RNAcentral.